ACCCCUGUGGAAAAUUCCCCAAUCCUGUUUCUGACACCUCAUAUGAAAGCUGCAUGUGCAGUCUUACUGCUAUUUUGCAAGCCUGAGGCUU
This 91-nucleotide small nucleolar RNA is filed under the name Callithrix jacchus (white-tufted-ear marmoset). RNAcentral describes it as "Small nucleolar RNA SNORD60 (ENSCJAG00000032751.3)". It matches the Rfam family "Small nucleolar RNA SNORD60". From Rfam's summary of the family: U60 belongs to the C/D class of snoRNA which contain the C (UGAUGA) and D (CUGA) box motifs. Lineage: Eukaryota; Metazoa; Chordata; Mammalia; Primates; Cebidae. The record is from Rfam by way of RNAcentral.